CUUGAUGCUUCGGGUGACGGUGGUUCUAUGAACCCCGCCAGGUCCGGAAGGAAGCAACGGUAGUGGAAAAACCGGGUGCCCGAAGCCUCAAGGGC
Molecule: signal recognition particle RNA, 95 nt
Filed under: Myxococcota bacterium
Lineage: Bacteria; Pseudomonadati; Myxococcota
Description: signal recognition particle sRNA small type
Rfam family: Bacterial small signal recognition particle RNA
About the family: The signal recognition particle (SRP) is a universally conserved ribonucleoprotein involved in the co-translational targeting of proteins to membranes.
Source: RNAcentral